RNAcentral lists this ribosomal RNA (797 nucleotides) under uncultured bacterium. RNAcentral describes it as "bacterial SSU rRNA". It matches the Rfam family "Bacterial small subunit ribosomal RNA", at positions 77 to 907 of the family's 1533-position model. The record is from RNAcentral.
CAAUCUUGUGAGUAAAGUGGCGUACGGGUGAGUAACACGUGGAUUAUCUACCUUCUAGUGGGGGAUAACCCUGGGAAACCGGGGCUAAUACCGCAUAAGCUCGAGAGAGGAAAGCAGCAAUGCGCUGGAAGAGGAGUCCGCGGCCGAUUAGCUAGUUGGUAGGGUAAAAGCCUACCAAGGCUACGAUCGGUAGCCGGCCUGAGAGGGCACACGGCCACACUGGCACUGAAACACGGGCCAGACUCCUACGGGAGGCAGCAGUGGGGAAUCUUGCACAAUGGGGGCAACCCUGAUGCAGCGACGCCGCGUGAGCGAUGAAGCCCUUCGGGGUGUAAAGCUCUUUCGGCAGGGAAGAUUAUGACGGUACCUGCAGAAGCAGCUGUGGCUAACUACGUGCCAGCAGCCGCGGUAAUACGUAGGCAGCAAGCGUUGUUCGGAGUUACUGGGCGUAAAGGGUGUGUAGGCGGUUCUCUAAGUCUGGUGUGAAAUCUCCCGGCUCAACUGGGAGGGUGCGCCGAAAACUGGAGGACUAGAGUGCGGGAUGGGAGAGUGGAAUUCCUGGUGUAGCGGUGAAAUGCGUAGAUAUCAGGAGGAACACCUGUGGUGUAGACGGCUCUCUGGACCGCAACUGACGCUGAGACACGAAAGCGUGGGUAGCAAACAGGAUUAGAUACCCUGGUAGUCCACGCCCUAAACGAUGCAUAUUUUGGUGUGGGCCAUUCAUUUGGUCUGUGCCGGAGCUAACGCGUUAAAUAUGCCGCCUGGGGGAGUACGGUCGCAAAGCUGAAACUCAAAGG